GGAGAGAUGCGAGAGCGGUUGAAUCGGACGGUCUCGAAAAUCGUUGUACUCGCAAGGGUACCGAGGGUUCGAAUCCCUAUCUCUCCG
RNAcentral lists this transfer RNA (87 nucleotides) under Treponema sp. RNAcentral's name for it is "tRNA-Ser". It matches the Rfam family "tRNA". From Rfam's summary of the family: Transfer RNA (tRNA) molecules are approximately 80 nucleotides in length. The record is from RNAcentral. Lineage: Bacteria; Pseudomonadati; Spirochaetota; Spirochaetia; Treponematales; Treponemataceae.